CCUACGGGGGGCAGCAGUGGGGAAUAUUGGACAAUGGGCGAAAGCCUGAUCCAGCCAUGCCGCGUGUGUGAAGAAGGCCUUCGGGUUGUAAAGCACUUUCAGUGGGGAAGAAAGCCUUGGGGCUAAUACCCUCGAGGAAGGACAUCACCCACAGAAGAAGCACCGGCUAACUCCGUGCCAGCAGCCGCGGUAAUACGGAGGGUGCGAGCGUUAAUCGGAAUUACUGGGCGUAAAGCGCGCGUAGGCGGUCUGGUAAGCCGGUUGUGAAAGCCCCGGGCUCAACCUGGGAACGGCAUCCGGAACUGUCAGGCUAGAGUGCAGGAGAGGAAGGUAGAAUUCCCGGUGUAGCGGUGAAAUGCGUAGAGAUCGGGAGGAAUACCAGUGGCGAAGGCGGCCUUCUGGACUGACACUGACGCUGAGGUGCGAAAGCGUGGGUAGCAAACAGGAUUAGAUACCCGGGUAGUC
RNAcentral lists this ribosomal RNA (465 nucleotides) under Vreelandella stevensii. RNAcentral describes it as "partial 16S ribosomal RNA". It matches the Rfam family "Bacterial small subunit ribosomal RNA", at positions 338 to 795 of the family's 1533-position model. The record is from RNAcentral. Lineage: Bacteria; Pseudomonadati; Pseudomonadota; Gammaproteobacteria; Oceanospirillales; Halomonadaceae.